RNAcentral lists this long non-coding RNA (387 nucleotides) under Homo sapiens (human). RNAcentral's name for it is "non-protein coding lnc-IRF4-2:1". Lineage: Eukaryota; Metazoa; Chordata; Mammalia; Primates; Hominidae. The record is from RNAcentral.
GGAUACUCGGGGUCAGGGGGUUCUCAGGGUUGGGGGGAUACUUAGGGUCAGGGGAUGCUCUAGGUUGGGGGAAGCUCGGGUUCAGGGGCUAUGGCCAGGGAGGAAGGACAAUCAGGAAAGUGGGGGUAGCGGAUUCUGGAAGCUAAAUAGUUUCAGGAAGGAGGAAUUGAUAGCCAAUGUUCAGAAGUACUGUGAGGCCAAGACUCCAGAGACAAUUGAGUUUGGCAUAUGCCAGUCAUUGGCAUCCUUGACAAAAGCAGUUUCAAAGGAGUGUGGGGAAGCUACAUCUCGUCAGAGUGGACUGUGAAAAGAAUAUUAAGUGAAGUGGAAAAAAGGCAUCCACAUUAAUCUGGAUAAAGGCUGCUUCUUCAGCCACAGCUAAGGUGC